This 1529-nucleotide ribosomal RNA is filed under the name Klebsiella pneumoniae subsp. pneumoniae. Its description in RNAcentral is "partial 23S ribosomal RNA". It matches the Rfam family "Bacterial large subunit ribosomal RNA", at positions 1292 to 2805 of the family's 2925-position model. The record is from RNAcentral. Lineage: Bacteria; Pseudomonadati; Pseudomonadota; Gammaproteobacteria; Enterobacterales; Enterobacteriaceae.
GAAUGCUGACAUAAGUAACGAUAAAGCGGGUGAAAAGCCCGCUCGCCGGAAGACCAAGGGUUCCUGUCCAACGUUAAUCGGGGCAGGGUGAGUCGACCCCUAAGGCGAGGCCGAAAGGCGUAGUCGAUGGGAAACAGGUUAAUAUUCCUGUACUUGGUGUUACUGCGAAGGGGGGACGGAGAAGGCUAUGUUAGCCGGGCGACGGUUGUCCCGGUUUAAGCAUGUAGGCUGGUUGUCCAGGCAAAUCCGGAUAAUCAAGGCUGAGGUGUGAUGACGAGGCACUACGGUGCUGAAGUAACAAAUGCCCUGCUUCCAGGAAAAGCCUCUAAGCAUCAGGUAACAUCAAAUCGUACCCCAAACCGACACAGGUGGUCAGGUAGAGAAUACCAAGGCGCUUGAGAGAACUCGGGUGAAGGAACUAGGCAAAAUGGUGCCGUAACUUCGGGAGAAGGCACGCUGGUGUGUAGGUGAAGUCCCUGCGGAUGGAGCUGAGACCAGUCGAAGAUACCAGCUGGCUGCAACUGUUUAUUAAAAACACAGCACUGUGCAAACACGAAAGUGGACGUAUACGGUGUGACGCCUGCCCGGUGCCGGAAGGUUAAUUGAUGGGGUUAUCCGUAAGGAGAAGCUCUUGAUCGAAGCCCCGGUAAACGGCGGCCGUAACUAUAACGGUCCUAAGGUAGCGAAAUUCCUUGUCGGGUAAGUUCCGACCUGCACGAAUGGCGUAAUGAUGGCCAGGCUGUCUCCACCCGAGACUCAGUGAAAUUGAACUCGCUGUGAAGAUGCAGUGUACCCGCGGCAAGACGGAAAGACCCCGUGAACCUUUACUAUAGCUUGACACUGAACAUUGAGCCUUGAUGUGUAGGAUAGGUGGGAGGCUUUGAAGCGUGGACGCCAGUCUGCGUGGAGCCAACCUUGAAAUACCACCCUUUAAUGUUUGAUGUUCUAACGUUGGCCCCUGACCGGGGUUGCGGACAGUGUCUGGUGGGUAGUUUGACUGGGGCGGUCUCCUCCCAAAGCGUAACGGAGGAGCACGAAGGUUAGCUAAUCCUGGUCGGACAUCAGGAGGUUAGUGCAAUGGCAUAAGCUAGCUUGACUGCGAGCGUGACGGCGCGAGCAGGUGCGAAAGCAGGUCAUAGUGAUCCGGUGGUUCUGAAUGGAAGGGCCAUCGCUCAACGGAUAAAAGGUACUCCGGGGAUAACAGGCUGAUACCGCCCAAGAGUUCAUAUCGACGGCGGUGUUUGGCACCUCGAUGUCGGCUCAUCACAUCCUGGGGCUGAAGUAGGUCCCAAGGGUAUGGCUGUUCGCCAUUUAAAGUGGUACGCGAGCUGGGUUUAGAACGUCGUGAGACAGUUCGGUCCCUAUCUGCCGUGGGCGCUGGAGAAUUGAGGGGGGCUGCUCCUAGUACGAGAGGACCGGAGUGGACGCAUCACUGGUGUUCGGGUUGUCAUGCCAAUGGCACUGCCCGGUAGCUAAAUGCGGAAGAGAUAAGUGCUGAAAGCAUCUAAGCACGAAACUUGCCCCGAGAU